RNAcentral lists this long non-coding RNA (768 nucleotides) under Olea europaea subsp. europaea. The record is from RNAcentral. Lineage: Eukaryota; Viridiplantae; Streptophyta; Magnoliopsida; Lamiales; Oleaceae.
UUCGACUCUGCAGUUUCCACGCAUUAUCUAUGAAAUGAGCAAUGAUAACCAUGAAUCUUUUCUUUUGAUUAGAAGAGGUCCACAUGUCGGUAGUGAUCAAAAUUCGUCUCUCAAUCUUCUCAAGUGCAAUCAUAUUUUUGGCUCUCUCGUAUUCAUAGAUUUUCAAAAUGCCACUCUUCAAAGUGUUACGAGAAGGAACUUUAAACAAUGGUUGUAGGUCAUGCAAGAACUCUCAAAAUCCAAUGUGAUCAACCAUAGACAAAGUAUACUCAUGCAAAAUCACCAUUUUCGAAAGACUAUAUCUACACUUAUCUGGAUUGAAAGAGUAAGUACCCAAUGUGACCUUGCCACUCAUGGCAUCCUUUUUGAAAUUUAAUGUUGCUUGGUGAGUAUUAUCCAUAUAAUGGAAUACACAUCUCUCUAAAUGAUCAUGCAAAUGCUUUGUACCAUUUUUUGUUUCACCCCCUAGCCGUUUCUUGCAAUGAUUGCAUAUAGCCUUCCAUUUCUCACCAAUUUUCUGUCUUUUGUAGUGCUCCCACACAGUUGAAGUCAAUUUCCUCUUUCCAAAUGAUAUUUCUCCAAUAUCACGCUCCUCGUCACUUAGGUUUAUUGUCCUUUCAUCCGCAUUUGGUAACAGUUCAACUGGAUCUUCUUGCGGGACAUUGCUCUCCAAUAAAUCGGUCAUGCUAUCUUCCUCGUGUAUUAGUCCUAAUCCAAUACUUCCAGCACUACUUAGAUCAGACAUCUGUGCAAAUAACAAACGACAUU